GAACCUAGAGGGUUCCCAAGCCAGAAUUGUGGAUCUAACGAUUGUGGAGUCUGGGUUGCAGCUUGGAUGCAAGAAUGUAGCGUGAAUGAUAACUAUAACUUUACACAAGUAUGCCAAGAUGCAAGGAUGAAGCUUGCGCUUGAUGUGGUUCAUAGUAGCUACAAUCAACUUAUGGAUGAAGUUGAAGAAAAGGCGCACCAUCAUUGGAAAAAGACGACAAAAAUUGCUUAGAAUCUAUUUUGCAACUUUAUUUUGCAUUUGUUUAACUUUAUUUUUUGUAUUUUGACAAUUGCUUAGCAUCUAAAUUGUGCACACUUUGUGAUAAUUUAGAUUACUAAUUUGCACAUCUAUUUAGACAAUUUAUUU
Molecule: long non-coding RNA, 366 nt
Organism: Trifolium pratense (red clover)
Lineage: Eukaryota; Viridiplantae; Streptophyta; Magnoliopsida; Fabales; Fabaceae
Exons: 3
Source: RefSeq, a predicted model, not a curated record